UACGGAGGGUGCAAGCAUUGAUCGGAAUUAUUGGGCGUAAAGGGUGCGUAGGCGGCAAUACAAGUCGGAUGUGAAAUUCCACGGCUCAACUGUGGAGCUGCAUUCGAAACUGUAUAGCUGGAGCGUAGUUAGGGAAAACGGAAUUCCACGUGUAGCGGUGAAAUGCGUAGAUAUGUGGAAGAACACCAGUGGUGAAGACGGUUUUCUGGGCUAUAGCUGACGCUGAGGCACGAAAGCUAGGGGAGCAAACAGG
Molecule: ribosomal RNA, 253 nt
Filed under: uncultured bacterium
Lineage: Bacteria
Description: partial 16S ribosomal RNA
Rfam family: Bacterial small subunit ribosomal RNA
Source: RNAcentral